This is a long non-coding RNA of Hipposideros armiger (great roundleaf bat), 1552 nucleotides long. RefSeq lists it as uncharacterized. The record is from RefSeq and is a predicted model, not a curated record. NCBI's taxonomy places the organism in Eukaryota, Metazoa, Chordata, Mammalia, Chiroptera, Hipposideridae. The transcript has 3 exons.
AUUUGGAACGAGGAAAAAACAUUACACAAUUUUUAUAUAGGAACAUAGAGAAAAUGAGUGCCUGAAAGAAUGUCAUUAUGCAACCUGAAGAAAGGAGAAAGCCUAUCAGAUUGAGCACUAAAUGAAUGAUUUCUGGGUUUCAGCAAUGCAAGUAAUUAACAUAAAGGAAAUGCAUGGUUGCAUAUCAGCACAUUGAUUUUUGUGAUCCCCCUGAGUUCUUUCAGAUCCGUUGAUUGCUUUUGCGCAUCAUCAAUUCCUGAUUAAAAAGGGACAAAUGACUCAAGUGAAAAUUGCAUAUAUAAAAAGAUCAAGUCCCAGCUUGUUAGCAUGACAUUCAAGACUCAUCUCUACCAAAUGGGAACGCUAAUUCUUGUCAAAAAGCCAAGAAUGUAUGCUCUUUAUGACUUUUGCCUGGAAGGCUAAGGAGAUGGUGGGAAUUCAGAGGAGGAGAAGAGCCAGUCUACGGGAAAUCACCAUGAGAAGUUCCCGGAUGCCCUGCAGGGCUCCAUCAUCAGCACUGGUGCAGCUUGGGCAGCCUCUGCACCACCAAUACCCAGCCCUGAGCAGGUGGAUUGAAGACUAGGUGGCAGUGGGAUAGGAAUGACCCUAUUACUUACUGAAGAUUUGCGAUUCUUCACGGUACAAGCACCAGUGAAGUAUGUAACGCAGAUGCUAUGAAGAGGCCAGAGUGGAAAACUGAAACGGACAUCCCUUCCGUUUUAUCUUGAGAUUAUUAUGUGGAUUGCCAUUUAAAUGCGUGGGUGACCUAAUAUACAGUUUAUACCUGAAGACCUCUAAUCAGAUUUUUGUAUCUGAAGCUUACUUUCCCAUUGCAAAUAGACAAAAAAGAAUCACACAAGGCUUUAGAAAUGCAGCUGUCAUAUAAAAGCCAGAAUCGGAGUUGCGUAGAGUUAACUGUCAUCUCUUUCCUCAACAUGAUCAAUAUAUAAUGUAAAGGACCUUCUAGGUCCUUCACACAGGAUUGAGGGCUAUGGUUUUAGGAAUGCGAGUCAUGACUGUAGAGCUAGGAUUAACACACAUAAAAAGAAGAGAGUUAACGUUUUACAAUCCAUCACAUGUCAAGCACUAUGCUGAGUUUGCAAACAUUACAUAUGUAGACUCUCCCAACUACCCUGAGAUAAUAUUUUUAGCCCAUCUCCCAGACAAGGCCCAGAGGGAUAAGCAAUCCAUGUAAAACUAUGAUUUAUAAUGAAAGGCUAGCAUAUUUGAGUGCUUAACAUGUGCCCAGUGCUCUGCUAAGCACUUUCAGGGUCUGAUGUAACCCUGGGCACACGGAUAGAAUCCCCGUCUUCAGGUAGGAGCCCUGGCUCUGAAGGCAAGACCUGUCCAUCAUCACACAGGGAGAAAGUGGUGAAGCCACACUGCAGGGCUCCACAGUGCCAGGCAGGCUCCUCAACAACUCAAUACAAUUUGUUCCAACACUUCCACUUUCUAAUAAAUAUCUUACAAGGCCUCCUUGCAAAAUCCUGACAUGAAAUUCACAGAUAAUAUAACCUAGUUACACAAAUGAUUUCAAGAAAGCCAACAGAAA